RNAcentral lists this long non-coding RNA (335 nucleotides) under Numida meleagris (helmeted guineafowl). RNAcentral describes it as "lncRNA (ENSNMEG00000020467.1)". The record is from RNAcentral. Lineage: Eukaryota; Metazoa; Chordata; Aves; Galliformes; Numididae.
CCCCCUUUCUGUAGUGCUUCAACAAUUCCCUUUCUUAUUGCACCUGAUACACUCCAGACUUCCAUGCUGGAUUUGCUCUGGUUGCUGGUUAGUGCCUCAGGUGGUGAGACCUUGCGAACCAAGCUGUUCCUGAGUCUUCUUCUAAAUGGUACAGGCCAGCAAGGAGGCAUAUGUAUGAGGGCUUCCAUACAUGCCAAGCUCUCUCAGACAGGUUGAUCAACUUUGCUCAGCCUUCUGAACAAAAAAGUUAAAUAUAAAUCCUCAAGCAACAUGUCUGGAGCAUACUUCCAAAAGUUUGUAAUAAACCUACUAAAUAAACUGACGUGUGACUGUGU